CCAAUUACACCAGUGCUCCGCCGGGCUUUGAUGUGGCGGAAAAGCAGAGAGAUAGGGGCAAAUUGCACAGCCAUAUUAUGCCCUUCAGAUUGGAAUUGUCUUGGGUUAUGGCGCUGGGCCCUGUCUGUAUGGUUAAUUAGUCUGACGAGUAGCCACCGUGCUCCUCACCGCUCUCCACGUCGUCACGCCUGCAGCAACUUGGGUUUAUUGUUCCUGAUGAUUGACUAGCAUGCAGCGGAGAGCGGAUCAAACUCCAGAGAAGGAGCGCGACUGAUCAGCUGUCAGAGGAGGAGACAGACAGAGUGGCAGCACCACUGAUGGUUGGUAAAACCUAAAAGUUUUGUGUUCA
This is a long non-coding RNA of Centropristis striata (black sea bass), 349 nucleotides long. RefSeq lists it as uncharacterized. The record is from RefSeq and is a predicted model, not a curated record. Lineage: Eukaryota; Metazoa; Chordata; Actinopteri; Perciformes; Serranidae. The transcript has 3 exons.